GACGAACGCUGGCGGCGUGCUUAACACAUGCAAGUCGAACGGAAAGGCCCUGCUUUUGUGGGGUGCUCGAGUGGCGAACGGGUGAGUAACACGUGAGUAACCUGCCCUUGACUUUGGGAUAACUUCAGGAAACUGGGGCUAAUACCGGAUAGGAGCUCCUGCUGCAUGGUGGGGGUUGGAAAGUUUCGGCGGUUGGGGAUGGACUCGCGGCUUAUCAGCUUGUUGGUGGGGUAGUGGCUUACCAAGGCUUUGACGGGUAGCCGGCCUGAGAGGGUGACCGGCCAAAUUGGGACUGAGAUACGGCCCAGAAUCCUAAGGGAGGCAGCAGUGGGGAAUAUUGCACAAUGGGCGGAAGCCUGAUGCAGCAACGCCGCGUGCGGGAUGACGGCCUUCGGGUUGUAAACCGCUUUCGCCUGUGACGAAGCGUGAGUGACGGUAAUGGGUAAAGAAGCACCGGCUAACUACGUG
Molecule: ribosomal RNA, 468 nt
Filed under: uncultured bacterium
Lineage: Bacteria
Description: partial 16S ribosomal RNA
Rfam family: Bacterial small subunit ribosomal RNA
Source: RNAcentral